Molecule: ribosomal RNA, 253 nt
Filed under: uncultured bacterium
Lineage: Bacteria
Description: partial 16S ribosomal RNA
Rfam family: Bacterial small subunit ribosomal RNA
Source: RNAcentral
UACAGAGGUGGCAAGCGUUGUUCGGAAUUACUGGGCGUAAAGGGCGCGUAGGCGGUUCGUUAAGUCCUGUGUGAAAUCCCCCGGCUCAACUGGGGAACUGCACAGGAAACUAGCGGGCUUGAGUUCGGGAGAGGGAAGCGGAAUUCCGGGUGUAGCGGUGAAAUGCGUAGAUAUCUGGAGGAACACCGGUGGCGAAGGCGGCAUCCUGGACCGACACUGACGCUGAGGAGCGAAAGCCAGGGGAGCAAACGGG